This 419-nucleotide ribosomal RNA is filed under the name bacterium. Its description in RNAcentral is "partial 16S ribosomal RNA". It matches the Rfam family "Bacterial small subunit ribosomal RNA", at positions 355 to 776 of the family's 1533-position model. The record is from RNAcentral.
UGGGGGAUAUUGCACAAUGGGCGAAAGCCUGAUGCAGCGACGCCGCGUGGGGGAUGAAGGCCUUCGGGUUGUAAACUUCUUUUGCUCUGAACAAGGCAUGCUAAUGGGUGUGUUGAGUGUAGGGGUUGAUUAGCGCCGGCUAACUACGUGCCAGCAGCCGCGGUAAUACGUAGGGCGCGAGCGUUGUCCGGAAUUAUUGGGCGUAAAGGGCUUGUAGGUGGCUGGUUGCGUCUGUCGUGAAAGCUCAUGGCUUAACUGUGGGUUUGCGGUGGGUACGGGCUGGCUUGAGUGCAGUAGGGGGUGCUGGAAUUCCUGGUGUAGCGGUGGAAUGCGCAGCUAUCAGGAGGAAUACCGGUGGCGAAGGCGGGUCUCUGGGCUGUUACUGACACUGAGGAGCGAACGCAUGGGCAGCGAACAGG